UGAGUACGAGACGCUAAGGCGUUGAAGCAGUCUAUGUCAGACUUCCAAGAAAAGCUUGCACUGUCAUAAACAAAGAAUGCCUGUACCAUAACCGACACAGGUGGGUAGGUAGAGUAUACUAAGGGGCGCGAGAUAACUCUCUCUAAGGAACCCGGCAAAAUGACUCCGUAACUUCGGGAGAAGGAGUGCCUUAUUUUUAUAAGGUUGCAAUAACAAGAUCCAAGCAACUGUUUACCAAAAACACAGGUCUCCGCUAAGUCGUAAGACGAUGUAUGGGGGCUGACGCCUGCCCAGUGCCAGAAGGUUAAAGAAGUUGGUUAGUUUCGGCGAAGCUGAUGACUGAAGCCCUGGUGAACGGCGGCCGUAACUAUAACGGUCCUAAGGUAGCGAAAUUCCUUGUCGGGUAAGUUCCGACCCGCACGAAAGGCGUAAUGAUUUGGAUACUGUCUCGGAGAGGGGCUCGGUGAAAUAGACUUGUCUGUGAAGAUGCGGACUACCUGCACCUGGACAGAAAGACCCUAUGAAGCUUUACUGUAACUUGAGAUUGAAAUUGGACUUUAUUUGCGCAGUAUAGGUGGGAGACGUUGAGAAUAUUCUUGCGGGAAUAUUGGAGUCAUCAGUGAGAUACCACUCUUGUAAUGUUAGAUUUCUAACUUUGUAUCAUUAUCUGGUCAAAGGACAGUUUCAGGCGGGCAGUUUGACUGGGGCGGUCGCCUCCCAAACGGUAACGGAGGCGCACAAAGGUUUCCUCUGAACGUGUAGAAAUCGUAUCUAGAGUGUAAAGGCAUAAGGAAGCUUGACUGUGAGACCUACAAGUCGAGCAGGGACGAAAGUCGGUCUUAGUGAUCUGACGGUGCUGAGUGGAAAGGCCGUCACUCAACGGAUAAAAGUUACUCUAAGGAUAACAGGCUGAUCUCCCCCAAGAGUUCACAUCGACGGGGAGGUUUGGCACCUCGAUGUCGGCUCAUCGCAUCCUGGGGCGGUAGUACGUCCCAAGGGUUGGGCUGUUCGCCCAUGAAAGCGGUACGCGAGCUGGGUUCAGAACGUCGUGAGACAGUUCGGUCCAUAUCCGGUGUAGGCGUUAGAAUAUUGAGAGGAGCCUUCUUUAGUACGAGAGGACCGAGAAGGACAUACCUCUGGUGUACCAGUUAUCGUGCCAACGGUAAACGCUGGGUAGCUAUGUAUGGAGUGGAUAACCGCUGAAAGCAUCUAAGUGGGAAGCCCACCUCAAGAUAAGUAUUCCC
This 1244-nucleotide ribosomal RNA is filed under the name metagenome. RNAcentral describes it as "bacterial LSU rRNA". It matches the Rfam family "Bacterial large subunit ribosomal RNA", at positions 1564 to 2815 of the family's 2925-position model. The record is from RNAcentral.